AGUGAACGCUGGCGGUAGGCCUAACACAUGCAAGUCGAACGGCAGCACAGUAAGAGCUUGCUCUUACGGGUGGCGAGUGGCGGACGGGUGGGGAAUACAUCGGAAUCUACUUUUUCGUGGGGGAUAACGUAGGGAAACUUACGCUAAUACCGCAUACGACCUACGGGUGAAAGCAGGGGAUCUUCGGACCUUGCGCGAUUGAAUGAGCCGAUGUCGGAUUAGCUAGUUGGCGGGGUAAAGGCCCACCAAGGCGACGAUCCGUAGCUGGUCUGAGAGGAUGAUCAGCCACACUGGAACUGAGACACGGUCCAGACUCCUACGGGAGGCAGCAGUGGGGAAUAUUGGACAAUGGGCGAAAGCCUGAUCCAGCCAUACCGCGUGGGUGAAGAAGGCCUUCGGGUUGUAAAGCCCUUUUGUUGGGAAAGAAAAGCAGCAGGUUAAUACCCCGCUGUUCUGACGGUACCCAAAGAAUAAGCACCGGCUAACUUCGUG
This 492-nucleotide ribosomal RNA is filed under the name uncultured bacterium. RNAcentral's name for it is "partial 16S ribosomal RNA". It matches the Rfam family "Bacterial small subunit ribosomal RNA", at positions 29 to 507 of the family's 1533-position model. The record is from RNAcentral.